UCUUGAUAGGAGACGUGACUCUCUCUCCUCAGAUAGCACUGCUGGGGUAUAUUCUGGAGAGAACAUUGUUUUCCUGAGAAAGUCAUCAGCACAACUGAAAAUGUGAAAUGAAAUUCAGUACAUGGAAUCGUUUGAAAGCUGAUGCAUUCCAAGUCACAGCUGCCUUGGUGCUAAAACCUCGGUCUAUUUGCCUACCUGAGAACAGAACUUCUGACCCAUUCAGAGCUUUCGAACAUUGCAAGAAAGAAAUAUGAUGGAAAAAUAUGAAUAUUUUAGAUGAGAAAAUAUGACUGAAUGUGGGAUCUAAAAUGGACAGCUAACAUCAAAAACGUCAUCAAAAAAGCACAACAAAGAAUGUUCUUUCUGCACCAACUCAGAAAGCUCAAACUGCCCAAGGAGCUGCUGAUUCAGUUCUACAGAGGAAUUAUUGAGUCUGCCAUCUGCACCUCUCUGUCUGGUUUGGUUCUGCAACCCAACAAGACAGACACAGACUUCAGAGG
This is a long non-coding RNA of Ahaetulla prasina, 500 nucleotides long. RefSeq lists it as uncharacterized. The transcript has 3 exons. Lineage: Eukaryota; Metazoa; Chordata; Lepidosauria; Squamata; Colubridae. The record is from RefSeq and is a predicted model, not a curated record.